UGAAAGGUUUCUUAAUCCUCAUAGUAUUUUCAUUAAUUUUACACUGAAAACCCUACUAGAGAGCUGAAGUAGUAUCCAAAGUCUUUAAGUGAACAUAAGAACAUGGUUCCUAGGGGCUAACUCUCCAUACCACUGAAAGAAGCGCCCCUCUAAAUUCUAUUUCUAAAAGCAACCCCUACUUACGUGGUUAACAGGAAGGAGCCUUCACUGCACCUGUCCAGAGCUUUCCGAGCAGCUGGCUUCCCUGAGAAUUCAACAAUGCCUUUUCCUGAGGGCCUUCCUCUAUCAUCCACGAUGACUACAGCCCUUUCCACUUGGCCAAACACAGAAAAAGCUUCCUCCAGCAGUUCGUUAGAAACAUACU
Long non-coding RNA from Neofelis nebulosa (Clouded leopard), 364 nucleotides. RefSeq lists it as uncharacterized. The transcript is spliced from 2 exons. NCBI's taxonomy places the organism in Eukaryota, Metazoa, Chordata, Mammalia, Carnivora, Felidae. The record is from RefSeq and is a predicted model, not a curated record.